ACGAACGCUGGCGGCGUGCUUAACCCCUGCAAGUCGCACGGAAAGGCCCUGCUUUUGUGGGGUGCUCGAGUGGCGAACGGGUGAGUAACACGUGAGUAACCUGCCCUUGACUUUGGGAUAACUUCAGGAAACUGGGGCUAAUACCGGAUAGGAGCUCCUGCUGCAUGGUGGGGGUUGGAAAGUUUCGGCGGUUGGGAUGGACUCGCGGCUUAUCAGCUUGUUGGUGGGGUAGUGGCUUACCAAGGCUUUGACGGGUAGCCGGCCUGAGAGGGUGACCGGCCACAUUGGGACUGAGAUACGGCCCAGACUCCUACGGGAGGCAGCAGUGGGGAAUAUUGCACAAUGGGCGGAAGCCUGAUGCAGCAACGCCGCGUGCGGGAUGACGGCCUUCGGGUUGUAAACCGCUUUCGCCUGUGACGAAGCGUGAGUGACGGUAAUGGGUAAAGAAGCACCGGCUAACUACGUG
This 466-nucleotide ribosomal RNA is filed under the name uncultured bacterium. Its description in RNAcentral is "partial 16S ribosomal RNA". It matches the Rfam family "Bacterial small subunit ribosomal RNA", at positions 29 to 507 of the family's 1533-position model. The record is from RNAcentral.